GCCUUCGUGGUGUAGUGGUCAAGUACGCUCGGCCGGUAUUCUAGAGGUCCGUGGUUCGAGUCCCGGCGAGGGCA
Molecule: transfer RNA, 74 nt
Filed under: Stegodyphus mimosarum
Lineage: Eukaryota; Metazoa; Arthropoda; Arachnida; Araneae; Eresidae
Rfam family: tRNA
About the family: Transfer RNA (tRNA) molecules are approximately 80 nucleotides in length. Their secondary structure includes four short double-helical elements and three loops (D, anti-codon, and T loops).
Source: Rfam by way of RNAcentral